This 380-nucleotide ribosomal RNA is filed under the name uncultured bacterium. Its description in RNAcentral is "bacterial SSU rRNA". It matches the Rfam family "Bacterial small subunit ribosomal RNA", at positions 969 to 1349 of the family's 1533-position model. The record is from RNAcentral.
CCUUACCUACUCUUGACAUCCACGGAAUUUAGCAGAGAUGCUUUAGUGCCUUCGGGAACCGUGAGACAGGUGCUGCAUGGCUGUCGUCAGCUCGUGUUGUGAAAUGUUGGGUUAAGUCCCGCAACGAGCGCAACCCUUAUCCUUUGUUGCCAGCGGUUCGGCCGGGAACUCAAAGGAGACUGCCAGUGAUAAACUGGAGGAAGGUGGGGAUGACGUCAAGUCAUCAUGGCCCUUACGAGUAGGGCUACACACGUGCUACAAUGGCAUAUACAAAGAGAAGCGACCUCGCGAGAGCAAGCGGACCUCAUAAAGUAUGUCGUAGUCCGGAUCGGAGUCUGCAACUCGACUCCGUGAAGUCGGAAUCGCUAGUAAUCGUAGAU